ACUCCUACGGGAGGCAGCAGUAAGGAAUAUUGGUCAAUGGGGGCAACCCUGAACCAGCCAUGCCGCGUGCAGGAAGACGGCCCUCUGGGUUGUAAACUGCUUUUAUCCGGGAAUAAACCCCCUUACGUGUAAGGGGCUGAAUGUACCGGAAGAAUAAGGAUCGGCUAACUCCGUGCCAGCAGCCGCGGUAAUACGGAGGAUCCAAGCGUUAUCCGGAUUUAUUGGGUUUAAAGGGUGCGUAGGCGG
This 246-nucleotide ribosomal RNA is filed under the name uncultured bacterium. Its description in RNAcentral is "partial 16S ribosomal RNA". It matches the Rfam family "Bacterial small subunit ribosomal RNA", at positions 335 to 578 of the family's 1533-position model. The record is from RNAcentral.